GUGAGUUCGUUGGUGUAAUCUAAGUGUUCUAUUUUGACUGAAGCACUUUCCACAUUCAAUACAUUUAAAUGGUUUCUCCCCCGUGUGAGUUCGUUGGUGUAUUCUAAGUGCUCCACUUUGACUGAAGCUGUUUCCACAUUCAAUACAUUUAAAUGGUUUCUCCCCCGUGUGA
This is a long non-coding RNA of Podarcis raffonei (Aeolian wall lizard), 172 nucleotides long. RefSeq lists it as uncharacterized. Lineage: Eukaryota; Metazoa; Chordata; Lepidosauria; Squamata; Lacertidae. The record is from RefSeq and is a predicted model, not a curated record. The transcript has 2 exons.